Molecule: ribosomal RNA, 490 nt
Filed under: uncultured bacterium
Lineage: Bacteria
Description: partial 16S ribosomal RNA
Rfam family: Bacterial small subunit ribosomal RNA
Source: RNAcentral
AUUGAACGCUGGCGGCAGGCCUAGCACAUGCAAGUCGAACGGUAACAGGAAGAAGCUUGCUUCUUUGCUGACGAGUGGCGGACGGGUGAGUAAUGUCUGGGAAACUGCCUGAUGGAGGGGGAUAACUACUGGAAACGGUAGCUAAUACCGCAUAACGUCGCAAGACCAAAGAGGGGGACCUUCGGGCCUCUUGCCAUCGGAUGUGCCCAGAUGGGAUUAGCUAGUAGGUGGGGUAACGGCUCACCUAGGCGACGAUCCCUAGCUGGUCUGAGAGGAUGACCAGCCACACUGGAACUGAGACACGGUCCAGACUCCUACGGGAGGCAGCAGUGGGGAAUAUUCCACAAUGGGCGCAAGCCUGAUGCAGCCAUGCCGCGUGUAUGAAGAAGGCCUUCGGGUUGUAAAGUACUUUCAGCGGGGAGGAAGGGAGUAAAGUUAAUACCUUUGCUCAUUGACGUUACCCGCAGAAGAAGCACCGGCUAACUCCGUG